Acanthosepion pharaonis is the source of this 90-nucleotide non-coding RNA. Lineage: Eukaryota; Metazoa; Mollusca; Cephalopoda; Sepiida; Sepiidae. The record is from the annotation of a GenBank genome assembly.
UGAAACACCAGUAAGAUCACUGAAGUUAAGCAAUGUCGAGCCUGGUCAGUACCUAGAUGGGUAACCACUUAGGAAUACCAGGUGCUGCAA